Molecule: ribosomal RNA, 770 nt
Filed under: Holocacista sp. PsychotriaAusQLD
Lineage: Eukaryota; Metazoa; Arthropoda; Insecta; Lepidoptera; Heliozelidae
Description: eukaryotic LSU rRNA
Rfam family: Eukaryotic large subunit ribosomal RNA (bases 453-770)
Source: RNAcentral
CGUCCAGGGGUAAACCUGCGAAACUCGAAUGAACGAACGGAGAGAUUCAUCGUCAUUCCGAUGGAGCCGCGACGGAGGGCCGAUGCGGCGGCGUGCGUGCGUUCGCGCGCGUUACGUCGUCGCACGACCUCCGCCCGCGUGCGACCUCGGACGGCGUGCACUUCUCUCUUAGUAAGACAUCGCGACCCGUUCGGCGUCGGCCUAAGCGCCGCACUUGAGUUCUUCGGCACUUCGCUGCCGCAAGACGGAGGCGGCCGGCCGGCCGGCAGCCGGACGGUAUAGUAUCGGAUACGCGCACGCGCUUCAGGCGCGUCCGGCCCGACGCAAGGUCGCGUCGUAUCCGGAGUCCUGCCCUAGCGCGGUCUCCGGUGCGGGGCGCCUGUUUGUCGCAGCCGUGCUGUUCUCGGACCGUGCGCGUCUCGGUCGGCGAUGAUUAAGUUUCGGGCACUCGCACCAAGGAGUCUAGCAUGUGUGCGAGUCAUUAAGAUUUAUAAAACUGAAAGGCGUAACGAAAGUGAAGGCGCGCGCUCGCCGCGCGCUCGGGGAGGAUGGUGGUCGACGUCAGUUUGCCGCCCGCACUCCCGAGGCGUCUCGUUCGCAAUCUGUCGAUGUAGGCGCGCUCAGAGCACAAAUGCUGGGACCCGAAAGAUGGUGAACUAUGCCUGGUCAGGUCGAAGUCAGGGGAAACCCUGAUGGAGGACCGUAGCGAUUCUGACGUGCAAAUCGAUCGUCGGAACUGGGUAUAGGGGCGAAAGACUAAUCGAACCAUC